RNAcentral lists this ribosomal RNA (773 nucleotides) under uncultured bacterium. RNAcentral's name for it is "bacterial SSU rRNA". It matches the Rfam family "Bacterial small subunit ribosomal RNA", at positions 9 to 795 of the family's 1533-position model. The record is from RNAcentral.
GAGUUUGAUCCUGGCUCAGGAUGAACGCUGACAGAAUGCUUAACACAUGCAAGUCUACUCGAGAAGGUUCUUCGGAACUUGAUUGGGUGGCGGACGGGUGAGUAACGCGUGAAGAACUUGCCUUAUAGAUCGGACAACUACUGGAAACGGUAGCUAAUACCGGAUACUAUAUUUUCUAGGCAUCUGGGAGAUAUGAAAGCUAUAUGCGCUAUAAGAGAGCUUCGCGUCCCAUUAGCUAGUUGGUAGUGUAAUGGACUACCAAGGUGACGAUGGGUAGCCGGCCUGAGAGGGUGUACGGCCACAAGGGGACUGAGACACGGCCCUUACCCCUACGGGAGGCAGCAGUGGGGAAUAUUGGACAAUGGGCCACAAGCCUGAUCCAGCAAUUCUGUGUGAAUGAUGAAGGCUUUAGGGCCGUAAAGUUCUUUCGGCAGGCAAUAAGAAAGUGACGGCACCUGCAUAAGAAGCGACGGCUAAUCACGUGCCAGCAGCCGCGGUAAUACGUAAGUCGCAAGCGUUAUCCGGAUUUACUGGGCGUAAAGGGCAUCUAGGCGGUUUAACAAGUCAGAGGUGAAAAGUCAGGGCUCAACCUUGGCCUGGCCUUUGAACCUGUUAGGCUAGAGUACGGAAGAGGAGGGCGGAACUCCAAGUGUACCGGUGGAAUGCGUAGAUAUUUGUAGGAAUGCCGAUGAUGAAGAUAGCCCUGCUGGGGCGAUCCUGCUGAGUAAGUUCCUGGGUCAGGAAGUUCUCUGUGAUUAGAUACCCUGGUAGUC